RNAcentral lists this transfer RNA (55 nucleotides) under Ixodes simplex. Its description in RNAcentral is "tRNA-Ser". The record is from RNAcentral. Lineage: Eukaryota; Metazoa; Arthropoda; Arachnida; Ixodida; Ixodidae. RNAcentral also lists the same sequence under 1 other name.
AAGAUUAAUUCAAUAGACUUCUAAUCUAUAAAUAAUGAAUAUUCAUUUAAUCUUU